AUGACCGGCCUCCAUGACGAGCGCGCCACCGGCGAACCCCGGAGAUCCAAGCGGUCCAGGCCGGAGGCGAAGGCGGCGGAGCCUCCGGCACGCCGAGGGCCACGCUCCUCCGCCCAAGCGUCGAGCUGCGAGGGUUGCGCGACCAUCUUCGCCCCCUCACGGCCAUCGGGAUUCGGAGGAUGUGGCCGUGGCUCCUCCGCCCGCACGCCGCGUGGAGGCCCCGGCUCCCCGCCCAAGCCCGAGCACUCCGCCCCCCCUAAUUGGCAUCGCACCGCAUACAGACUCCACAACCGCGUCGUCCGGGAUACCAGCAACCGCAAGCUCGCCCCCAGUCGCUACGACAACGGGAUAGAAAUUAAGCAUGAUCCAACAUGGCAAACUCCGACGUGUGCACGUGUGGCUUUGGAACACUACAACAACAUGAAUCAGGGGGAUGAGCAUGAGAUGGUUAAACCAGUGAGCAGCCAUGUCUUUGUCUUCAAUGGUAUCUGGUUCCAUGCAAAUUUCCUUGCUAAGCGAAAAGGAGCCACCAACUGUGUUGAUCUCGUCCCCAAGUACUUUUGCUGA
Molecule: ribosomal RNA, 567 nt
Filed under: Triticum aestivum (bread wheat)
Lineage: Eukaryota; Viridiplantae; Streptophyta; Magnoliopsida; Poales; Poaceae
Description: partial small subunit ribosomal RNA
Source: RNAcentral